Sebastes umbrosus (honeycomb rockfish) is the source of this 572-nucleotide long non-coding RNA. RefSeq lists it as uncharacterized. The transcript has 3 exons. Lineage: Eukaryota; Metazoa; Chordata; Actinopteri; Perciformes; Sebastidae. The record is from RefSeq and is a predicted model, not a curated record.
AGCAGGGGUUUCACGUGCUCAGGGACUCCACCUUCACCAUCAGCUGCUCCAUCCAGCCACAGUACCCAGGAGGCUCCUUCCAGCUCACCUUCACCUCCUCCACCUCAGAUCACACCUACACCAAGCCAGCUGUCAAUCACUCCGCCCACUUCCUGUUUCCUGCUGCAGAGCCCGCCCACCAAGGAAGCUACAGCUGUGUUUAUCACGUCUAUGUUUUUUCUCACGACUUCUUCUCUGAGAGCCGUCUGAUCUCUCUCACUGUCGCAGAUCUAAGGCCUCUUAUCAUCAGAGCGGUCGUCCUGCCGCUGAUUCUGCUGUUGGCGAACAUUGGCCUUUACUUCUACUAUAAGGCCACCAGAGGGCAGAAGCCGGGCAGACGGGAGAACACUGAGCCGGUUUAUUAUAACCUGGGUGUUCCUGCAGCUGAAGGAGGGCCGACUGAAGAGGAAGGAGCUCAGGGAGCAGAGUAGCACCUCCAAGGAGCUCAUCUCACAUCCAGAUGGAUUUAUAACACACAACCCACCAACAGCUCAUUUUAUAUGAAUGUUCCCUUUAAACAAGAAGGCUGGAUU